GUUUUUACUGGGUUAAAGAAAUUUUGAAAAUUUCCUAUAAGUGUUCAAUUCACUUAAAAACU
RNAcentral lists this transfer RNA (62 nucleotides) under Bathyteuthis abyssicola (deepsea squid). RNAcentral describes it as "tRNA-Ser". The record is from RNAcentral. Lineage: Eukaryota; Metazoa; Mollusca; Cephalopoda; Oegopsida; Bathyteuthidae.